Molecule: ribosomal RNA, 503 nt
Filed under: Photobacterium sp. 8Bf1S14
Lineage: Bacteria; Pseudomonadati; Pseudomonadota; Gammaproteobacteria; Vibrionales; Vibrionaceae
Description: bacterial SSU rRNA
Rfam family: Bacterial small subunit ribosomal RNA
Source: RNAcentral
CCUGAUGCAGCCAUGCCGCGUGUGUGAAGAAGGCCUUCGGGUUGUAAAGCACUUUCAGUCGUGAGGAAGGCAUAUGCGUUAAUAGCGCAUGUGUUUGACGUUAGCGACAGAAGAAGCACCGGCUAACUCCGUGCCAGCAGCCGCGGUAAUACGGAGGGUGCGAGCGUUAAUCGGAAUUACUGGGCGUAAAGCGCAUGCAGGCGGCUUGUUAAGCCAGAUGUGAAAGCCCGGGGCUCAACCUCGGAAUAGCAUUUGGAACUGGCAGGCUAGAGUCUUGUAGAGGGGGGUAGAAUUUCAGGUGUAGCGGUGAAAUGCGUAGAGAUCUGAAGGAAUACCGGUGGCGAAGGCGGCCCCCUGGACAAAGACUGACGCUCAGAUGCGAAAGCGUGGGGAGCAAACAGGAUUAGAUACCCUGGUAGUCCACGCCGUAAACGAUGUCUACUUGGAGGUUGGUGUCUUGAACACUGGCUUUCGGAGCUAACGCGUUAAGUAGACCGCCUGGG